This 784-nucleotide ribosomal RNA is filed under the name uncultured Neocallimastigales. RNAcentral's name for it is "partial large subunit ribosomal RNA". It matches the Rfam family "Eukaryotic large subunit ribosomal RNA", at positions 24 to 635 of the family's 3401-position model. The record is from RNAcentral. Lineage: Eukaryota; Fungi; Neocallimastigomycota; Neocallimastigomycetes; Neocallimastigales.
UAUCUCUGUAGAGUCUGCAUAUCAAUAAGCGGAGGAAAAGAAACUAACUAGGAUUCCCUUAGUAACGGCGAGUGAAGCGGGAAGAGCUCAAAUUUGAAAUCUUCAAGGUUCUACCUUGACGAAUUGUAGUUUAAAGAAGUGUUUUCUGUUGGAGUUGAGUAGCAAAAGUUCCUUGGAAUAGGACAUCAUAGAGGGUGAGAAUCCCGUAUUUGACUUAUUCAUUCUAGCUUUGUGAUACACUUUCAAAGAGUCGGAUUGUUUGGGAAUGCAGUCCAAAAUGGGUGGUAAAUUUCAUCUAAAGCUAAAUAUCGGCGAGAGACCGAUAGCGAACAAGUACCGUGAGGGAAAGAUGAAAAGAACUUUGAAAAGAGAGUUAAACAGUACGUGAAAUUGUCAAAAGGGAAGCGUUUGACACCAGUGUUGUUUUCUCGAAAAUCAAUUACGAAAUGGCAUUGAUUCUGUGUUGUAUUGACCUUAUCAGCUUUCUGCACUCUUUUCUAGUCUUUCUUAAUGCACUUUUCGGUUAACAAGUCCAACGUCAAUUUCUUUUGUUGUAAAAGGAGUAUUCGGAAGGUGGCUUUCUUUUCGGAGAAAGUGUUUAUAGCCCUAUAGCUUCUAGCAAUCGGAGAGAUUGAGGUCUGCAGCGUAGAUCCUUCGGGGUUAGAUACACUUGUGCUAAGUUAUAGCUUUUCAUAGACAACUUGUUGACUAUGAUUAGUCAUGUCGGCUUACUCGCUUAUGCUAUUUUACCUACGCUUAGGAUGUUGAAGAUGUAGCACAUCAU